UUGAGACCGGCGCACGGGUGCGUAACGCGUAUGCAAUCUGCCUUCCACAGAGGGAUAGCCCAGAGAAAUUUGGAUUAAUACCUCAUAGCAUCAUGACCCGGCAUCGGGAUAUGAUUAAAGUCACAACGGUGGAAGAUGAGCAUGCGUCCCAUUAGCUAGUUGGUAAGGUAACGGCUUACCAAGGCUACGAUGGGUAGGGGUCCUGAGAGGGAGAUCCCCCACACUGGUACUGAGACACGGACCAGACUCC
This 250-nucleotide ribosomal RNA is filed under the name uncultured Flavobacterium sp. RNAcentral's name for it is "partial 16S ribosomal RNA". It matches the Rfam family "Bacterial small subunit ribosomal RNA", at positions 89 to 339 of the family's 1533-position model. Lineage: Bacteria; Pseudomonadati; Bacteroidota; Flavobacteriia; Flavobacteriales; Flavobacteriaceae. The record is from RNAcentral.